This 118-nucleotide ribosomal RNA is filed under the name Fidelibacterota bacterium. Lineage: Bacteria; Pseudomonadati; Fidelibacterota. The record is from RNAcentral.
UCCGGUGACAAUAGCGUGGGGGAGACACCCGAUCCCAUCCCGAACUCGGCAGUUAAGCCCCAUUGCGCCGAUGGUACUGCGCGGGAGACUAGCGUGGGAGAGUAGGUCGUUGCCGGGA